CCUCCUUAAACGAAAAUCCUUACAGUUAGUAAGUGUCUACACGCAUUGCUUGAUUAUAAAUGGUAACAGUAAAGUACGGUAUGCCGGCCGGGCUGCUAGGACCCGUCGCACCAGAAUUGGGUCUGUAGCUCAGUUGGUUAGAGCGCACCCCUGAUAAGGGUGAGGUCGGUGGUUCAAAUCCACCCAGACCCACCAAUUUAGUUCAAAUUGGGGCUAUAGCUCAGCUGGGAGAGCGCCUGCCUUGCACGCAGGAGGUCAGCGGUUCGAUCCCGCUUAGCUCCACCACUUUACUGUUUCGAGAAGUUAGCGAUAAGCGUAUAGCGUUUAUCACUGGCUUUUUUAUGCCAGAGCUCUUUAAAAAGAUGAUUAUUGAAUACUGAAAUAUUUUUUCAAGGGCCAGUGUGUAUUUUUUACACAUCUGUCCGGCGAAAUUGUUACUAAUUACUAUGGAAAUAGUAAGUCGCAACAAAUCUUGCUAGCUUGUACUGUAUGGUCAAGCGAGUAACGCACACGGUGAAUGCCUUGGCAGUUGGAGGCGAUUAAGGAA
Molecule: transfer RNA, 547 nt
Filed under: uncultured Gammaproteobacteria bacterium
Lineage: Bacteria; Pseudomonadati; Pseudomonadota; Gammaproteobacteria
Description: partial 16S-23S ribosomal RNA intergenic spacer
Rfam family: tRNA (bases 119-192)
Source: RNAcentral